AUCUUUGCGCUUGGGGCAAUGACGCAGCUAGUGAGGUUCUAACCGAGGCGCGUCUAUUGCUGGUUGAAAACUAUUUCCAAACCCCCUCUUAGGCCCAGGCUUGCCCUUGGCCUUCGAGAAUUUCUGGAAGGGCUCCCUUUGGGGUAAAGUC
RNAcentral lists this small nuclear RNA (151 nucleotides) under Ricinus communis (castor bean). RNAcentral's name for it is "U4 spliceosomal RNA". It matches the Rfam family "U4 spliceosomal RNA". Rfam says of the family: U4 small nuclear RNA (U4 snRNA) is a component of the major U2-dependent spliceosome. The structure of U4 snRNA from yeast and human has been reported. The record is from Rfam by way of RNAcentral. Lineage: Eukaryota; Viridiplantae; Streptophyta; Magnoliopsida; Malpighiales; Euphorbiaceae.